AAUCCACUUGGCCAGCCAAGCAUAUAACGAAAAGCCUGCCUAAAGAGAAAUGUUUUCAGAAUAAAAUAAUCUCUUUUUAAAAAAAUCUCCUAGGUAAACCAUUCAUCUAAAGGGAAGCUUGCCUGGAGAGAAAGGUCUUCGUCUGCUUGCAGAAGGACAGCAAAGAUGGGGUCAGAUGUUUCAGAGACUGGUCAAGCUAUGUUACAGAGCAUUCUGCGUAGGCACCACCGUCUCAGGCAAAAUUCAGAAGUCCCGGCUUCGGAGAGCUGUAAGAAAUACAGAAGGAAGAAACACAGGCAUCCGCUGAAGGAAUUAAUCCCGGAGAUGAAAGGUAACAAAUAGAGUCAAAACAAGGGAGAGGAGGGGAGUGACAGAGAUAAAAUGUGACAAGGCAAGGGAUGUAAAACCACAAAGCGUUAUAUGGCAAGGAAGGGAGAUGUUCUCCUCCUUUAGGGGAAAGCCUUCGAAAGACAAAAUGUGAAAGAUGUUUAAUGACCGCUUUUGACCUCUGGCCUUUUUGACCUUUCCACAGGCUCCCAAAAUAAAUCCCACGGCCGUUCCAGAAAGAUGGGAAUCGCAAGCCACUGAAGGCCAUCCCAACUGAGGAGGGGGGGGGACCACAAAUAAAUAAAAUACAAUUCCAAAAAUGAUUUCACUAUUGUGUGAGAAAAAGACCCUGAUGUUGGGAAAGUGUGAAGGCAAGAGGAGAAGGGGAUGACAGAGGAUGAGAUGGUUGGACAGUGUCACCGAAGUGACCAACAUGAAUUUGACCCAACUCCGGGAGGCAGUGGAAGACAGGAGGGCCUGGCGUGCUCUGGUCCAUGGGGCCACGAAGAGUCGGAAAAGACUUCUCGACUAAACAAAAACAAUUGUUGGAGGAGGAACGUAGAAGCCCCAAGUGGCCUCUGGUUCAAAGCACAGAAAGGAUCAUCAUGAUUAAGAGAGCAUCUCGGCUCAAGGCCCGCGUUUAUCAUAAUUAUCCAAGCAAAUGCAGUUUCUUGAAGGCCAAUACUAGGCAUUCCAAUUCAAAAUGUUGCUCCACCCCAAAUUCAAAUAAAUAUACGAUUUAUGUUCUCAUCUCCGCACAGCAAGAGAUUGCCUUUGAGCUAAACCCAAGACUCAGCAAACUCCAACAUUAUCUGUUCAAUAAAGAAAAGAUCGUUUCAAAGGCAAAAG
Molecule: long non-coding RNA, 1176 nt
Filed under: Pogona vitticeps (central bearded dragon)
Lineage: Eukaryota; Metazoa; Chordata; Lepidosauria; Squamata; Agamidae
Description: lncRNA (ENSPVIG00000018835.1)
Source: RNAcentral